GGGGGACGGAGAAGGCUAUGUUGGCCGGGCGACGGUUGUCCCGGUUUAAGCGUGUAGGUGUGUGUUCCAGGUAAAUCCGGUUCACUUUAACACUGAGGCGUGACGACGAGGCACUACGGUGCUGAAGCAACAAAUGCCCUGCUUCCAGGAAAAGCCUCUAAGCAUCAGGUAACAUCAAAUCGUACCCCAAACCGACACAGGUGGUCAGGUAGAGAAUACCAAGGCGCUUGAGAGAACUCGGGUGAAGGAACUAGGCAAAAUGGUGCCGUAACUUCGGGAGAAGGCACGCUGACAC
This 295-nucleotide ribosomal RNA is filed under the name Salmonella enterica subsp. enterica serovar Virchow. Its description in RNAcentral is "partial 23S ribosomal RNA". It matches the Rfam family "Bacterial large subunit ribosomal RNA", at positions 1467 to 1757 of the family's 2925-position model. RNAcentral also lists the same sequence under 5 other names. The record is from RNAcentral. Lineage: Bacteria; Pseudomonadati; Pseudomonadota; Gammaproteobacteria; Enterobacterales; Enterobacteriaceae.